This 1764-nucleotide long non-coding RNA is filed under the name Daphnia pulex (common water flea). Its description in RNAcentral is "uncharacterized LOC124194185, transcript variant X3". The record is from RNAcentral. Lineage: Eukaryota; Metazoa; Arthropoda; Branchiopoda; Diplostraca; Daphniidae.
GUGUUACCCACUGCUGUCCCGUUGCCUCCUAUAAACGUGGAUAAAACAGCAAUCAAACGUCAAAUCAAGGAAAUGCUAGAAACAGCCUUGAGUUUGAGUAUUCAGUAUGACUAUUGAAGUUUUUUGCUUAAAACGAGAAAAAUAAACAGUCCACAAGGGGAUUGGCAUUGGUUAUAGUUCCACGUCAGACUUCAGACAACAAAAUAUCAGUGUUAAAGAAAAAUCAGUGAAAAGAUCGUGCAAAAAACGUGUGGAAUCAAUGAAAGGCUUUUUACUUACAGAUUCAAUAGAGAAAAAAAGUCAAGAUUGAUAACUUUUAAUCUUUUCAUUCAACAUCUAUUACAGCCAAUCUCUUACAAUGUGAACAGCAAGAUUACUAAACUGACAUAUUUGAACCGACAUUGACGCGAUGAUCAUUAAAAAAAACUGACGUUCGGGAAGAAAUUAGCUUGGUGAGGAAACUCUUGUCAUGGAGAAAAGUAAUAUGUGGCUGUACUCAAGCCUCCAACAAAUGAACUCUUGCUGCAGUUUUAACCAAGACGGUAUUUGAAAAGCCCCUUUAGAAAGAGCUAUACUAUCUGAGGCAGGUGACUCCCAUGAUACAAUUAUCAAGCAAGUAUAAGGCAAGGACAAUUGUAAUCUGGAACUCGACGAACAGGUCAAUGUUGAGAAAGAAGAAGAUGACUGCUCAAUACAAUUAAAUCAAAGAAGGACAAUACGGAAGCUCUGGUGGAAGCUAUGAAAGAGUUUGGCGUUGAAGUGGAUAUCGAUUUAAUUUAACUAGUGUGAAAUCCCAAAGUAGAGCCAGAAGGUCCAUCUAUCACCGGCACACCAAUAUCCAACGGAACUUACUCCACAAGACUGGCAUAAGUGUAGUGCCUACUGAAAUUAACUUACGAAUCAUAGUUCCGAUGGAUUCACUUUCAAGGAGAAAAGCAGUCGACAGUCCCUAUAGGAGGAGAGACACUGUAACUGCCAUUUGCUUAGCGAUUGAGAUUAGCGAAAGUCGUGGAUACCAUCUGUCAAUCAAUGCGUCUUGUCUACCGACCCGGAUCCCCCGUGUGUAUAUCGAUCCUCUCGAUCCUGGUUGCUUACAUCCGCCAAGUUUUUAUUGACACUAGCCAGCAAAAAGCUCGCAGAAACAUUCGCGAAGAUAACGGAAAAGAGACACCAACACGGGGGAAAGAAACAAAAGGACGCCAGUUCAUCCAUUCUCACGCUCAAAAGAAGUUCCGUUGAUUACUGUACCCCAAGCUUGUCUGCUUAACAUUUAAGGGUUGUGAGUUUGGGACCGGCGAAUGUAGUUUUUAAAGUAAAAUAAGUCGUCGAAGAACGCUCCGUCAACGUCAAUUUUUAUUUGCCAAUAAACAGUGCCCGAAGAGUUCAUACCGAGACCGCUAUUUCAUGUGCCUUGGCUUGCAGGAUACGAAUUAGGUAAUCUAAAAUUGAGCGAAGAUGGUGACGAGAGUUGCAACGUGGAAGCGGCUCACCUCUGGAAGAUGUUUAGCGAAGAUGACGUUGAAGUGAAAUGCAGUAUGUUUCCUCCAAGUGCUGCCAAACGCUCAGAGUCUGAUUGAAAAGUGUUCGAAUCCGGUCAAUCGGUCUAUCCAUCUAAUUGGUCCAUUACUUCCUGGUUGAUUUGAUUUUCAUUUUCACCAUCAUUUAGAGAUUGACUUAACAUUUGCUGUUGCCUUGUACUCUUGUAAAUAGUAUGUUACAGUGAAUAGAAAUGCAUUCUGAAUAACUGGCAGGUUAGCUAACCAA